Molecule: ribosomal RNA, 253 nt
Filed under: uncultured bacterium
Lineage: Bacteria
Description: partial 16S ribosomal RNA
Rfam family: Bacterial small subunit ribosomal RNA
Source: RNAcentral
UACGGAGGAUGCAAGCGUUAUCCGGAAUGAUUGGGCGUAAAGGGUCCGCAGGUGGCAGUGUAAGUCUGCUGUCAAAGAAUGAGGCUUAACCUCAUCAAGGCAGUGGAAACUACACAGCUAGAGUACGGUCGGGGUAGAAGGAAUUCCUGGUGUAGCGGUGAAAUGCGUAGAGAUCAGGAAGAACACCGGUGGCGAAGGCGGCAUCCUGGACCGGUAUUGACGCUGAGGCGCGAAAGCUAGGGGAGCAAACGGG